AUGUGCAUAUCCAUCUUUGGCAAAAAACAUCAUAAUGUGUUGGAACUCCCUCCUGUGAAGCUGAAGGCCGUUUAUAAAUUUCUGGAACAGCUAUAUGUGGGUGGUGCUAAGUGUGUAAUGUCAAUCAACAACACCAAGGAGCCACCUCGCCACAUUAUGGAUAUGAUCAGGGAAUUAUCCACUGUUCCAGAAUGGAUCCAGGAGUUGAAGAAGGAGGCUUGCCGACAAGGGGCUAUGUGCUCACUGGCGCGUGCGAAGGCUUAUCACCCGGAGAUGGAACCGACUCUUCUAGCUGAUGGGUUCCCAUAA
This 309-nucleotide ribosomal RNA is filed under the name Triticum aestivum (bread wheat). RNAcentral's name for it is "partial small subunit ribosomal RNA". Lineage: Eukaryota; Viridiplantae; Streptophyta; Magnoliopsida; Poales; Poaceae. The record is from RNAcentral.